RNAcentral lists this long non-coding RNA (235 nucleotides) under Cicer arietinum (chickpea). RNAcentral's name for it is "long non-coding RNA (CARI_LNC001555)". Lineage: Eukaryota; Viridiplantae; Streptophyta; Magnoliopsida; Fabales; Fabaceae. The record is from RNAcentral.
UAUGCGCUAUUAAAGUUUUUUCUUUCAGAUUCAUUAUAUUUAAAUUAAACUCCACCCUCACACAAAAAGACCUAAAAAAUUUCAUUCAUCAUAAAAAAUUAAACACUAUAUAAGCCAUUUAAGUGGUUAUAUUUGGAAUCAAAUCUACUAUUUUAUAAUGUUUUUUUAAUAUUAUUAUUAAUAUUUUUUUAGAAUAGUAAUUUAAAUAUUCAAAAUCCGAACUAAAUUAAACCGU